Molecule: ribosomal RNA, 165 nt
Filed under: Trianthema salsoloides
Lineage: Eukaryota; Viridiplantae; Streptophyta; Magnoliopsida; Caryophyllales; Aizoaceae
Description: 5.8S ribosomal RNA
Rfam family: 5.8S ribosomal RNA
About the family: 5.8S ribosomal RNA (5.8S rRNA) is a component of the large subunit of the eukaryotic ribosome. It is transcribed by RNA polymerase I as part of the 45S precursor that also contains 18S and 28S rRNA.
Source: RNAcentral
CACAACGACUCUCGGCAACGGAUAUCUCGGCUCUUGCAUCGAUGAAGAACGUAGCGAAAUGCGAUACUUGGUGUGAAUUGCAGAAUCCCGUGAACCAUCGAGUCUUUGAACGCAAGUUGCGCCCGAAGCCUUCUGGCCGAGGGCACGCCUGCCUGGGCGUCACGC